GAUGAACGCUGGCGGCGUGCCUAAUACAUGCAAGUCGAGCGAACGGACGAGAAGCUUGCUUUUCUGAUGUUAGCGGCGGACGGGUGAGUAACACGUGGAUAACCUACCUAUAAGACUGGGAUAACUUCGGGAAACCGGAGCUAAUACCGGAUAAUAUUUUGAACCGCAUGGUUCAAAAGUGAAAGACGGUCUUGCUGUCACUUAUAGACGGAUCCGCGCUGCAUUAGCUAGUUGGUAAGGUAACGGCUUACCAAGGCAACGAUGCAUAGCUGACCUGAGAGGGUGAUCGGCCACACUGGAACUGAGACACGGUCCAGACUCCUACGGGAGGCAGCAGUAGGGAAUCUUCCGCAAUGGGCGAAAGCCUGACGGAGCAACGCCGCGUGAGUGAUGAAGGUCUUCGGAUCGUAAAACUCUGUUAUUAGGGAAGAACAUAUGUGUAAGUAACUGUGCACAUCUUGACGGUACCUAAUCAGAAAGCCACGGCUAACUACGUG
Molecule: ribosomal RNA, 497 nt
Filed under: uncultured bacterium
Lineage: Bacteria
Description: partial 16S ribosomal RNA
Rfam family: Bacterial small subunit ribosomal RNA
Source: RNAcentral